GACGAACGCUGGCGGCGUGCCUAACACAUGCAAGUCGAGCGGGGAUUUGGGAAGCUUGCUUCCUGGAUUCUAGCGGCGGACGGGUGAGUAACGCGUGAGCAACCUGCCUUUCACAGGGGGAUAACGCAUCGAAAGAUGUGCUAAUACCGCGUAAGACCACAGCACCGCAUGGUGCAGGGGUCAAAGGAGCAAUCCGGUGAGAGAUGGGCUCGCGUCCGAUUAGCUAGUUGGUGAGAUAACAGCCCACCAAGGCGACGAUCGGUAGCCGACCUGAGAGGGUGAUCGGGCCACAUUGGAACUGAGAGACGGUCCAGACUCCUACGGGAGGCAGCAGUGGGGAAUAGUUGGGCAAUGGGGCGAAAGCCUGACCCAGCAACGCCGCGUGAGGGAAGAAGGGCUUC
RNAcentral lists this ribosomal RNA (401 nucleotides) under uncultured bacterium. RNAcentral's name for it is "bacterial SSU rRNA". It matches the Rfam family "Bacterial small subunit ribosomal RNA", at positions 28 to 419 of the family's 1533-position model. The record is from RNAcentral.